GUUCUUCAAAACUUAACUUCUUUCAAUAAUAUGUCAUUUAAGCGGAAAGCUAAAAGACUAAAGACUAAAGCGAAAUAGAGUAGCUUUAAGCUUUGAGUUUUAUCCUUUCAGCUCAAAUAAAAGUAUUUAGGUGCCUAUAUCGGUGGUGUCCACCUCUUCCCAUUCCGAACAGAGAAGUUAAGCCCACCAGAGCCGAUGGUACUGCGGUAACACGUGGGAGAGUAGGUCGGUGCCAAAU
Molecule: ribosomal RNA, 238 nt
Filed under: Pedobacter psychrotolerans
Lineage: Bacteria; Pseudomonadati; Bacteroidota; Sphingobacteriia; Sphingobacteriales; Sphingobacteriaceae
Source: RNAcentral